RNAcentral lists this ribosomal RNA (216 nucleotides) under Campeiostachys nutans. Its description in RNAcentral is "Elymus nutans partial small subunit ribosomal RNA". The stretch from base 44 to 216 matches the Rfam family "Eukaryotic small subunit ribosomal RNA", at positions 690 to 864 of the family's 1831-position model. The record is from RNAcentral. Lineage: Eukaryota; Viridiplantae; Streptophyta; Magnoliopsida; Poales; Poaceae.
GGGUCAGUAGGUUGGUCAUGCCACUGGUAUGUACUGGUCUCACUGAUUCCUCCUUCCUGAUGAGCCGUAAUGCCAUUAAUUUGGUGUUGUGGGGAAUCAGGACUGUUACUUUGAAAAAAUUAGAGCGUUUAAAGCAGGCUCACGCUUGAAUACAUUAGCAUGGAAUAAUGAAAUAGGACGUUCGAUCCUAUUUUGUUGGUUUCUAGGAUCGACGUA